Molecule: ribosomal RNA, 450 nt
Filed under: uncultured bacterium
Lineage: Bacteria
Description: bacterial SSU rRNA
Rfam family: Bacterial small subunit ribosomal RNA
Source: RNAcentral
UCAAGAAACUUCCACAAUGGGCGAAAGCCUGAUGGAGCGACGUCGCGUGAUGGACGAAGUGCUUCGGCACGUAAACAUCUUUUAUGUGGGAUGAAAUUACUGACAGUACCACAUGAAUAAGGGGCUCCUAACUCUGUGCCAGCAGGAGCGGUAAUACAGAGGCCCCAAGCGUUAUCCGGAAUCACUGGGCGUAAAGGGUGUCGAGGCGGUUGUAUUAGUCGUUCGUAAAAUCUACGAGCUUAACUUGUAGGCGGCGAACGAAACGGUACGACUUGAGGUUUGGAGAGGUGCGUGGAACUCACGGUGUAGGGGUGAAAUCCGUUGAUAUCGUGGGGAACACCAAAGGCGAAGGCAGCGCACUGGCCAAAAUCUGACGCUCACACACGAAAGCUAGGGUAGCGAAGAGGAUUAGAUACCCUCGUAGUCCCUGAGCGGGCUGGCAAGGCGCAU